AUUGAACGCUGGCGGCAUGCUUUACACAUGCAAGUCGAACGGCAGCGCGGGCUUCGGCUUGGCUGCGCGUGUCGCACGCGUGUGUAUUGCAUGUGAACGUCCUCACUAGUGCGGGAUAGUCCCUCGAAAGCCCGAUUACUACCGCCUACGACCUGCGCCUGCAACCGGGGGACCGAAGGGCCUCUCCCUAUUGGAGCGACCGACGUCGGACUAGUCAGCUUGUUGGUUAAAGGCUUACCUAGGCGACGAUCCGUAGCUGGCCGGAGAGGACGACCAGCCACACUGGGAGUGAGACACGGCCCAGAGGCCUGCGAGAGGCAGCAGUGGGGAAUGGGGGACAAUGGGGGCAACCCUGAUCCAGCCAGGCCGCGUGCGAGAAGAAGGCCUUCGGGUUGUGAACCGGGUCUGUGCGGGAAGAAAUCCUCUGGGCUGAGACGACGGGUGGAUGACGGUACCGGGAAAAGAAGCACCGGCUAACUACGUG
Molecule: ribosomal RNA, 484 nt
Filed under: uncultured bacterium
Lineage: Bacteria
Description: partial 16S ribosomal RNA
Rfam family: Bacterial small subunit ribosomal RNA
Source: RNAcentral